AUUGAACGCUGGCGGCAGGCUUAACACAUGCAAGUCGAGCGGGGGAAGGUAGCUUGCUACCGGACCUAGCGGCGGACGGGUGAGUAAUGCUUAGGAAUCUGCCUAUUAGUGGGGGACAACAUCUCGAAAGGGAUGCUAAUACCGCAUACGUCCUACGGGAGAAAGCAGGGGAUCUUCGGACCUUGCGCUAAUAGAUGAGCCUAAGUCGGAUUAGCUAGUUGGUGGGGUAAAGGCCUACCAAGGCGACGAUCUGUAGCGGGGCUGAGAGGAGGAGCCGCCACGCUGGGACUGGGACACGGCCCAGACUCCUACGGGAGGCAGCAGUGGGGAAUAGUGGACAAUGGGGGGAACCCUGAUCCAGCCAUGCCGCGUGUGUGAAGAAGGCCUUAUGGUUGUAAAGCACUUUAAGCGAGGAGGAGGCUACUUUAGUUAAUACCUAGAGAUAGUGGACGUUACUCGCAGAAUAAGCACCGGCUAACUCUGUGCCAGCCGCCGCCGUAA
Molecule: ribosomal RNA, 501 nt
Filed under: uncultured bacterium
Lineage: Bacteria
Description: partial 16S ribosomal RNA
Rfam family: Bacterial small subunit ribosomal RNA
Source: RNAcentral